CGGGCGCUGCUUUACCUGCAAGUCGAACGGCAGCGGGGGCUUCGGCCUGCCGGCGAGUGGCGAACGGGUGAGUAAUGCAUCGGAACGUGCCCAGUCAUGGGGGAUAACUACGCGAAAGCGUAGCUAAUACCGCAUACGCCCUGAGGGGGAAAGUGGGGGAUCUUCGGACCUCACGUGAUUGGAGCGGCCGAUGUCAGAUUAGCUAGUUGGUGAGGUAAAGGCUCACCAAGGCGACGAUCUGUAGCGGGUCUGAGAGGAUGAUCCGCCACACUGGGACUGAGACACGGCCCAGACUCCUACGGGAGGCAGCAGUGGGGAAUUUUGGACAAUGGGCGCAAGCCUGAUCCAGCCAUGCCGCGUGAGUGAAGAAGGCCUUCGGGUUGUAAAGCUCUUUCGCAAGGGAAGAAAACGUGUGGGCUAAUAUCCUGCGCGGAUGACGGUACCUUGACAAGAAGCACCGGCUAACUACGUGCCAGCAGCCGCGGUAAUACGUAGGGUGCGAGCGUUAAUCGGAAUUACUGGGCGUAAAGCGUGCGCAGGCGGUUGUGUAAGACAGGUGUGAAAUCCCCGGGCUUAACCUGGGAACUGCGCUUGUGACUGCACGGCUAGAGUACGGCAGAGGGGGGUGGAAUUCCUGGUGUAGCAGUGAAAUGCGUAGAUAUCAGGAGGAACACCGAUGGCGAAGGCAGCCCCCUGGGCCUGUACUGACGCUCAUGCACGAAAGCGUGGGGAGCAAACAGGAUUAGAUACCCUGGUAGUCCACGCCCUAACGAUGUCAACUAGUUGUUCGUAGAGGUAACUCUGUGAGUACGCAGCUAAC
Molecule: ribosomal RNA, 820 nt
Filed under: uncultured Azoarcus sp.
Lineage: Bacteria; Pseudomonadati; Pseudomonadota; Betaproteobacteria; Rhodocyclales; Zoogloeaceae
Description: bacterial SSU rRNA
Rfam family: Bacterial small subunit ribosomal RNA
Source: RNAcentral